AGCAGCCGCGGUAAUUCCAGCUCCAAUAGCGUAUAUUAAAGUUGUUGCAGUUAAAAAGCUCGUAGUUGAAUUUCGGAAUCAAUGGAUCGGUCAUGCCACUCGGUGUGUACUGGUUUGAUUGGUUCUCACCUUCUAAGGAACCGUGAUGUCAUUAAUUUGGUGUCGCGGGGAAUUAGGACUGUUACCUUGAAAAAAUUAGAGUGUUUAAAGCAAGCUCACGCUUGAAUACAUUAGCAUGGAAUAAUGAAAUAGGACAUUGUAUUCUAUUUUGUUGGUUUCUAGGAUCGAUGUAAUGAUUAAUAGGGAUAGUUGGGGGCAUUAGUAUUCAAUCGUCAGAGGUGAAAUUCUUGGAUUUAUUGAAGACUAACUACUGCGAAAGCAUUUGCCAAGGAUGUUUUCAUUAAUCAAGAACGAAAGUUAGGGGAUCGAAGACGAUCAGAUACCGUCGUAGUCUUAACCAUAAACUAUGCCGACUAGGGAUCGGAUGAUGUUAAUUUUUAAUGACUCAU
RNAcentral lists this ribosomal RNA (509 nucleotides) under uncultured Glomus. Its description in RNAcentral is "SSU rRNA". It matches the Rfam family "Eukaryotic small subunit ribosomal RNA", at positions 569 to 1079 of the family's 1831-position model. The record is from RNAcentral. Lineage: Eukaryota; Fungi; Glomeromycota; Glomeromycetes; Glomerales; Glomeraceae.